Gadus macrocephalus (Pacific cod) is the source of this 1965-nucleotide long non-coding RNA. RefSeq lists it as uncharacterized. The transcript is spliced from 2 exons. The record is from RefSeq and is a predicted model, not a curated record. NCBI's taxonomy places the organism in Eukaryota, Metazoa, Chordata, Actinopteri, Gadiformes, Gadidae.
AAGUCGAGGGGGGGGGGGGGGGUUGUUGGUUCGAAGCCUUAGAGAUCCCUGGACCAGUGCCUUGCUUGCGACCAAGUGACAGUCCAGACAACUCAGUGAGUCUUACAGGUGUCUGUUCAAAUACCUCAAAGUAUUAAACCAAAGUAUAAAACCAAAGUAUUCCCCUUGAGCUGGCCUUGACUGCCUCUCUCCGUGGGCCCACGGGUCCAGUUGGAGUGAUUGUGUCUGUUCUCCCUCCUCGCCUGUUCGUCGAAUCAAAGCAAUGUGGUUCAACCCUAACCAAAGUGAUGAGGCGGUGGUUCCAUGUGUUCUGUCUAUGUCUCUCUACCCCACUCUCUCUAGACGGUGGCAAAGCUUUAAAGGCCGAGGUUGCAGAUAUACCUCAUAGCGUGUAGCUUUAGUGCCAUGUUUAGGAUGUAGCGUAUCCUAAUGCGCUACAUAUGAAGUGUGUCGACCGUUACUCACUGACUCCUCCUCCUUCCUUGGGUCAGCGACCUCUGAACCAAAUGAUUGGGGUCAACCUUAUGUCUUGAUUCCGUUUUUCAGAUAGAAUAACAUUUAUUUUGUCAACGUUGGAGAAGAGUGCCGAAACCAAAAUGAAAGAGCUUGUCCUUUUAACUCCACUCUCUCUCUCUGUGUUUGCUUUAUCUCUCUGUGGUCUCUCCGUCGUCGGCUGAGAAGGGGGGUUGAACUGACGGGUUUUUCGGGAUAUUAUUGGAGCAAGGCCAGAUUUGAACUGCCUUUAAUCAGAUCAUUACCAUAUUAUUUGCAUCCUGUCCAGCCAUCAAACGAUUGAACGCCAUGCAUCAUUGAUUUUGAUUAUUGAUUAUAUCAGUGUUCUACUCUCAAACAUUACCGCAGACUGAUUUUAUGCAUGAGUAUAUUUACAAUUAGCUAGCCAUGUAAUGCAUUGUGAUUAAUAUCCUUGUUAUUAUGUAUUAUUACUUUUCAUUUAAUAAUGGGUAUUGUACUAUUAGCUUGCGUUACGUUUUGCAAUACUCUAAAUCACUAGCACAUGCUAACAGGUUGUCAAUCAGCAGACAGGAACAGGAAACAGAGACCUCCAUGGGUCCUGUUGCCUUCCAAAGAAAGACCCUCCCACCAAAACCACAUUCCGACUGGCAGCAUUGUGCAAACAAGGUAGCGUCGGGUGAAUUAUGUGGCUUCAAAAAUGAACAUUCCAAAAGUUAGCCACCACGAAACAGUUAGCAUCAUGAGGCUUUAAGAUGGCUUCAGACAGAACAUGGAUGGAGGGGUCUGAAUGAGUCCCCUGAUGUCUUCACAUCCUCUGUAGUGCCUGACCAUCUCUCCCCUCAGGAGUCACCUCGGUCCGUCUGAAGAUGGCCCAUGGAUCCUGAUUGUAUUCAAUAAUUGAAACAACCCAAAUCAAUAUUUCCCUCCACACCUGUCACCAAACCGAGUCAUUAUUGUGAAGAACCUAGAGAAGAUUAACAGUAUUUUAAGUGUAACCACAAAGUGUUUCGUUUUAAAUCAGUAUUACACUUUAGAAAAUGCCAAAUAUGUAAUCUAAACAAAAAAAUGUUGCAGUUUUAGCGCCAUGUUGACCAAAGAUCACUUUUUUUCUUUUGAUCAGAAUAACUGAUAUUCUGAAACUGUAAACCAAAUGAAUUCAAAUAUAAACCAAAGUAAACUCCAUGCCUGUCCAUAUUGCUUAUUAUCUAGCACACGCCAAAGCAACCUGACCCCACCUUAAUGUCAUCACCAAGCAUUCUUGCUUUUUAUUUUUGAUCCUGUUUCUUUACAAAAUAUUGUUUUUCUGAUAAUUUUUUUAUAUGUAUUUUGUUCCAUAAUUGUUGUAAUUAUACUGAAAUGAUGCAUUUUAUUUUACAGAAAAAGAAACGAUUGAAAACUUGAUCAAAAUUGAAGGAGGGAUUUGGAGUAAAUGUUGUUCCACUCUAUGUAUAAAUGAAAAAAUAAAGUUGUCACAAUGGUCUUAUCCAUGUA